This 253-nucleotide ribosomal RNA is filed under the name uncultured bacterium. RNAcentral describes it as "partial 16S ribosomal RNA". It matches the Rfam family "Bacterial small subunit ribosomal RNA", at positions 524 to 776 of the family's 1533-position model. The record is from RNAcentral.
GACGAACCGUGCAAACGUUGUUCGGAAUCACUGGGCUUAAAGGGCGCGUAGGCGGGCCAGCCAGUCUGUGGUGAAAGCCUCCAGCUUAACUGGAGAAGUGCCGUGGAUACUGCUGGCCUCGAGGAGGAUAGGGGCAUCUGGAACGGUCGGUGGAGCGGUGAAAUGCGUUGAUAUCGACCGGAACUCCGGUGGCGAAGGCGGCUCACUGGACCGGAACUGACGCUGAGGCGCGAAAGCGUGGGGAGCAAACAGG